AUUUGUGAUAAUCAUGAUAAGUGAGCUUUUGGAAGAUGGAAUGGCCCCAUGGCCAUUGAUUCAACAUUACUUUUUAUCAUAAUUAAGGGGCCAUUUUAUGCAGCCGAAAGGGUUACACGGUUUAUAUAUGAUUUUCUGAAAUUUAGUGGUACAGGCCUAUAUAUUAUACUUUAAACCACACAAAGCAAGAAGACAUACGAGUGUGGAACAAGAAAAAUGUGCUCACGACUCACGUAGACUCCAAGCAUUAAAAAAAAAGUGAAUACCCCCUUUUUUUCUUGGUUGAGAAAUCUGGACCUUAAUUAUUCCAAUUUUUCUAUUGUGAAAAAGAACAUUCCAACAUUUUAAAAUUUUUCUGAAAUUUGGUGGUGCAGCCUAUAUUAUACUUUGACUACACGGGCAAGAACACAUACGAGUAUGGAACAAGAAAAAUGUGCUCACGUAGACUGCAAGCAUUAAAAAGAAAAUGAGAGAACUUUUUUUUUUGGUGGAGCCUUAAAUGUUUUGUUUAGGAAAAUUAUGACAUCAAAGAAACCAGAUAAGAUUGAUAGAGCAUGCAUGCUGGUUAGUCUUGGAAAAGUGAAGCAC
Long non-coding RNA from Glycine soja, 588 nucleotides. RefSeq lists it as uncharacterized. The transcript is spliced from 2 exons. Lineage: Eukaryota; Viridiplantae; Streptophyta; Magnoliopsida; Fabales; Fabaceae. The record is from RefSeq and is a predicted model, not a curated record.